This 495-nucleotide ribosomal RNA is filed under the name uncultured bacterium. RNAcentral's name for it is "partial 16S ribosomal RNA". It matches the Rfam family "Bacterial small subunit ribosomal RNA", at positions 28 to 507 of the family's 1533-position model. The record is from RNAcentral.
GACGAACGCUGGCGGCGUGCCUAAUACAUGCAAGUAGAACGCUGAAGGAGGAGCUUGCUUCUCCGGAUGAGUUGCGAACGGGUGAGUAACGCGUAGGUGACCUGCCUGGUAGCGGGGGAUAACUAUUGGAAACGAUAGCUAAUACCGCAUAACAGUAGAUGUUGCAUGACAUUUGCUUAAAAGGUGCAAUUGCAUCACUACCAGAUGGACCUGCGUUGUAUUAGCUAGUCGGUGAGGUAACGGCUCACCAAGGCGACGAUACAUAGCCGACCUGAGAGGGUGAUCGGCCACACUGGGACUGAGACACGGCCCAGACUCCUACGGGAGGCAGCAGUAGGGAAUCUUCGGCAAUGGACGGAAGUCUGACCGAGCAACGCCGCGUGAGUGAAGAAGGUUUUCGGAUCGUAAAGCUCUGUUGUAAGAGAAGAACGAGUGUGAGAGUGGAAAGUUCACACUGUGACGGUAUCUUACCAGAAAGGGACGGCUAACUACGUG